GGCCCAGUGGCCUAAUGGAUAAGGCACCAGCCUUUGAAGCUGGGGAUUGUGGGUUCAAGUCCCACCUGGGUCG
Molecule: transfer RNA, 73 nt
Filed under: Danio rerio (zebrafish)
Lineage: Eukaryota; Metazoa; Chordata; Actinopteri; Cypriniformes; Danionidae
Description: tRNA-Gln (TTG) (tRNA-Gln-TTG-33-1)
Rfam family: tRNA
About the family: Transfer RNA (tRNA) molecules are approximately 80 nucleotides in length. Their secondary structure includes four short double-helical elements and three loops (D, anti-codon, and T loops).
Source: Rfam by way of RNAcentral